This 617-nucleotide ribosomal RNA is filed under the name Salmonella enterica subsp. enterica serovar Kentucky. Its description in RNAcentral is "partial 23S ribosomal RNA". It matches the Rfam family "Bacterial large subunit ribosomal RNA", at positions 2198 to 2814 of the family's 2925-position model. The record is from RNAcentral. RNAcentral also lists the same sequence under 1 other name. Lineage: Bacteria; Pseudomonadati; Pseudomonadota; Gammaproteobacteria; Enterobacterales; Enterobacteriaceae.
UACCACCCUUUAAUGUUUGAUGUUCUAACGUGGACCCGUAAUCCGGGUUGCGGACAGUGUCUGGUGGGUAGUUUGACUGGGGCGGUCUCCUCCUAAAGAGUAACGGAGGAGCACGAAGGUUGGCUAAUCCUGGUCGGACAUCAGGAGGUUAGUGCAAUGGCAUAAGCCAGCUUGACUGCGAGCGUGACGGCGCGAGCAGGUGCGAAAGCAGGUCAUAGUGAUCCGGUGGUUCUGAAUGGAAGGGCCAUCGCUCAACGGAUAAAAGGUACUCCGGGGAUAACAGGCUGAUACCGCCCAAGAGUUCAUAUCGACGGCGGUGUUUGGCACCUCGAUGUCGGCUCAUCACAUCCUGGGGCUGAAGUAGGUCCCAAGGGUAUGGCUGUUCGCCAUUUAAAGUGGUACGCGAGCUGGGUUUAGAACGUCGUGAGACAGUUCGGUCCCUAUCUGCCGUGGGCGCUGGAGAACUGAGGGGGGCUGCUCCUAGUACGAGAGGACCGGAGUGGACGCAUCACUGGUGUUCGGGUUGUCAUGCCAAUGGCACUGCCCGGUAGCUAAAUGCGGAAGAGAUAAGUGCUGAAAGCAUCUAAGCACGAAACUUGCCCCGAGAUGAGUUCUCC